This 240-nucleotide ribosomal RNA is filed under the name Lassophora nossibei. RNAcentral describes it as "partial 12S ribosomal RNA". Lineage: Eukaryota; Metazoa; Arthropoda; Chilopoda; Scutigeromorpha; Scutigeridae. The record is from RNAcentral.
GAGGAACCUGUCCUGUAAUCGAUAAUCCACGUUAAUUUAACCUAAAUUUGUGAUUCAGCUUGUAUAUCGUUGUCUUAAGAUUAUUUUAUAAGAAAUUUUUCGAGAAUAAUGUUUUAUUUAAGUCAAAUCAAGAUGCAGUUUAUGYUUAGGGUUGAGAUGGGUUACAUUAUAUAAAUAUAAACGGAUWUAARUUUGUAAURUUUAUUGAAGGUGGAUUUAAUUGUAAUUUGGAGUUAAAUA